RNAcentral lists this ribosomal RNA (460 nucleotides) under uncultured bacterium. RNAcentral describes it as "partial 16S ribosomal RNA". It matches the Rfam family "Bacterial small subunit ribosomal RNA", at positions 338 to 795 of the family's 1533-position model. The record is from RNAcentral.
CCUACGGGAGGCAGCAGUGAGGAAUAUUGGUCAAUGGGCGGAAGCCUGAACCAGCCAAGUCGCGUGCGGGAUGAAGGCUCUACGGGUCGUAAACCUCUUUUGCACGGGGAUAAAUCCCUCUACCUGUUCAAGUCUGCAGGUACCGUUCGAAUAAGGGCCGGCUAAUUCCGUGCCAGCAGCCGCGGUAAUACGGAGGGGCCGAGCGUUAUCCGGGUUUAUUGGGCUUAAAGGGUGGGUAGGCGGCAGUUUAAGUCCAGCGUGAAAUGCCGUGGGUCAACCCUGGAACCGCCGUUGAAACUGGGCGGCUUGAGUUCACAAGAGGCAGGCGGAAUGCGUGGUGUAGCGGUGAAAUGCAUAGAUAUCACGAGGAACCCCGAUGGCGAAGGCAGCCUGCCGGGGUGUGACUGACGCUGAGGCUCGAAAGCGUGGGGAUCAAACAGGAUUAGAUACCCGAGUAGUC